UACGUAGGGUGCAAGCGUUUAAUCGGAAUUACUGGGCGUAAAGCGUGCGCAGGCGGUUUUGUAAGUUUGUCGUGAAAGCCCCGGGCUUAACCUGGGAAUGGCCAUGGAAACUGGCGAACUGGAGUGUGGCAGAGGGGGUGGAAUUCCGCGUGUAGCAGUGAAAUGCGUAGAGAUGCGGAGGAACACCGAUGGCGAAGGCAGCCCCCUGGGCUAGCACUGACGCUCAGGCACGAAAGCGUGGGGAGCAAACAGG
This 253-nucleotide ribosomal RNA is filed under the name uncultured bacterium. RNAcentral's name for it is "partial 16S ribosomal RNA". It matches the Rfam family "Bacterial small subunit ribosomal RNA", at positions 524 to 776 of the family's 1533-position model. The record is from RNAcentral.